This is a non-coding RNA of Pelobates cultripes (western spadefoot toad), 239 nucleotides long. The record is from the annotation of a GenBank genome assembly. Lineage: Eukaryota; Metazoa; Chordata; Amphibia; Anura; Pelobatidae.
CGGUAGUUGAGUUAACCCAAUAAACUUGUCUCUUAAGAAGGUCUAGUAACUCUGGUCAACCUCCUAAUUGUGUCAUUGUCUUUUAUGUUAAAUGUUAUCAUGGUCGCAAAUGGUGGGAUUGGUAAAGGGUGCAGGGUUGCUACUGGGGGCGGUGAGCUCUAGUGUAUUUGUGGUGUUUGUGCUAUUUCAUUCAUCUUCCCACUACUUCUGUUGUCAAAUUACUUCUGGCCGUCUUCCCC